CGAUGCAACGCGAAGAACCUUACUACCCUUGACAUGUCCGGAACUUGCCAGAGAUGGCUUGGUGCCCGAAAGGGAAUCGGAACACAGGUGCUGCAUGGCUGUCGUCAGCUCGUGUCGUGAGAUGUUGGGUUAAGUCCCGCAACGAGCGCAACCCUUAUCAUUAGUUGCUACGCAAGGGCACUCUAAUGAGACUGCCGGUGACAAACCGGAGGAAGGUGGGGAUGACGUCAAGUCCUCAUGGCCCUUAUGGGUAGGGCUUCACACGUCAUACAAUGGUCGGUACAGAGGGUUGCCAAGCCGCGAGGCGGAGCCAAUCCCAGAAAGCCGAUCGUAGUCCGGAUUGUUCUCUGCAACUCGAGAGCAUGAAGUCGGAAUCGCUAGUAAUCGCAGGUCAGCAUACUGCGGUGAAUACGUUCCCGGGUCUU
This 425-nucleotide ribosomal RNA is filed under the name uncultured Thiobacillus sp. RNAcentral's name for it is "bacterial SSU rRNA". It matches the Rfam family "Bacterial small subunit ribosomal RNA", at positions 952 to 1382 of the family's 1533-position model. Lineage: Bacteria; Pseudomonadati; Pseudomonadota; Betaproteobacteria; Nitrosomonadales; Thiobacillaceae. The record is from RNAcentral.